This is a long non-coding RNA of Halichondria panicea, 1301 nucleotides long. RefSeq lists it as uncharacterized. Lineage: Eukaryota; Metazoa; Porifera; Demospongiae; Suberitida; Halichondriidae. The record is from RefSeq and is a predicted model, not a curated record. The transcript has 3 exons.
AAAGAAGCAAACUUGUCAAAGAGGUGUGUGUGCUGGGCGGGGCUGUGCAGUGCAGCAACUGUGAAGUCUCCUCCACUGCAUACUUGCACUUGCGAAGAGUAAAGCAGCCAAGAAGAGGAAGAAAGAUGGAACUGAACGAAGAGGAGACCAUUCUUAUUCCUGCACAAAGUGAUGCGUCCGUUUCUCCUGAGAUAUGACUCAAGAAGGAGGUGGAGUCUCAGCUGCCUGACAAAGUGGAGUACGUCAUUAAGUGUGACAUGUCGGCUCUACAGAGACAAAUGUACGGACACAUGCUGAAGAAGGGUAUAUUGCUUACGGAUGGGUCAGAGAGGGACAGGAAGGUAUGUACGUAAAUGGGGGGAUUUCUUAACUGUUCAACAUGAAACGUAGCCUCGAUUCCAAGCCGCUGAGAAAGACGGCCUGGUAUACACUGUUUACGCAUGCGCCAGAAUUACCCAGAAUCUGGGUAAUCGUAAAUUGCAGUAUAUUUAUCAGUAUUCUUAUUCCGCAUUAGUUUGUAAAACAUUGAUAUCCGUUUCAUUUAUAAUGAUGUCAUUGAAAAAAGAAAUCUAGUCCAAGUUGUGUAAUGGCUGCUACCUUCUCUUCUGCUCUCACGUACGCGUUAUCCUGUGUUGGAAAACCAGGUCUAGUCUUGAAAGACAAGCAGCUGGAGGCGUUAAAGUGUCUGUACGCUGGUGUUUAUGUGGGUACCGUACCGACCGGCUAUGGCAAGUCCCAGAGCAAGUCCAUCUGCUUUCCAGACACUCCCUUUCUUGAUUGAUGUGAAGCUUGACAGGACCAGUGCAACUCUCUCUGAAAGAAGUGUUGUGAUGGUGAUUUCUCCUCUUGUUUCUCUGAGUGAAGCCAUCUUCAAAGUGUUGGUGUGUCUGUUCGACGUUCAGUGCCAUUCUCUCUGGAAGGAAGUAUUGUUGUGACAUUUGCCGAAAAUUGGUCACAGAGUAAGUACGUGGUAUCUGAUCCGAGAACUGUGUGGCCUGAAUGUGUUUACAAUCCGAGGGACUUGUGUGUAUCCGAUCCGAGGGACUUGUUGCUUGAGUGUGUAUUAAUGGAUAGUGCUUUCAAUGGUUUAACUAAUUUCUUAUGAGAUUAACUUGUCGCCUGAGUGUGUAUCCGAUCCGAGCCUCAAGUUAAUGAAUAAAUCUACAGAGCUGAUGUUUUACUUAGCUGUCUCUGUCUACAGUAUAUACAGAGAGGUAGCCUCUCCUUUUUCUUUUUUCUGUUCUUUAUGGCAAUAAGAUAAAAUACUGUUUUAACGUUCAAUGAGAUAAAAUACGGUAAAU